This 360-nucleotide ribosomal RNA is filed under the name Halomonas sp. RNAcentral's name for it is "partial 23S ribosomal RNA". It matches the Rfam family "Bacterial large subunit ribosomal RNA", at positions 470 to 830 of the family's 2925-position model. The record is from RNAcentral. Lineage: Bacteria; Pseudomonadati; Pseudomonadota; Gammaproteobacteria; Oceanospirillales; Halomonadaceae.
AUACUCCCGAGAGACCGAUAGUGGACUAGUACCGUGAGGGAAAGGUGAAAAGCACCCCGAACAGGGGGGUGAAAGAGAACCUGAAACCUUGUGCUUACAAGCGGUCGGAGCCCUGUAAGGGGUGACGGCGUGCCUUUUGCAUAAUGAGCCUACGAGUUGCGCUUCACUGGCGAGGUUAAUUCCUUUAGGGGAGGAGCCGAAGCGAAAGCGAGUCCGAAUAGGGCGGAAGUCAGUGGAGGCAGACGCGAAACCUAGUGAUCUACCCUUGGCCAGGGUGAAGUUCCGGUAACACGGGAUGGAGGCCCGAACUGGUGUGCGUUGAAAAGCGCUCGGAUGAGCUGAGGGUAGGGGUGAAAGGCU